This 1486-nucleotide long non-coding RNA is filed under the name Ricinus communis (castor bean). RNAcentral describes it as "long non-coding RNA (RCOM_LNC000868)". Lineage: Eukaryota; Viridiplantae; Streptophyta; Magnoliopsida; Malpighiales; Euphorbiaceae. The record is from RNAcentral.
UUUUCUUUCUCUUAAAGUUUCUAAAGAGAAAAUUAAAUCAAAAUGUCCAAGAUUUUGCAUUUUUAACACUUUGAUCCCUGCAUUUUUAAAAAUGUUAUUCAGUCCUUAAUAUUUGAAAAGAACAUGGAAUAGUUCAAUCUUUCAUCUGUGGUCCUAAUGGGUCAAUCCAUUUUCUGGCAAAGGUUAACAUGACAUUGGAUGGAUAAGAUUAAAGUAUAGACCUUACUAGAUCCAUUUCCCUGCUAGGAAAUAAAAAUUUCAAUACUAAACCAAAAAGCAAAUAAUUAAAGUUUCAAUUUCACCUCUAGCAUCAAAACUAAAAUUGGACUAACUUAAUUCAAUGGUGAUAAAACAAGUAUGGCAACAGAAUUAAAAUUAAAACCUGGAAUUCAAACUAGCUUUAUCCUUUAGAAUAAUUAUAAUCUUCCUCCCCUUGGGAGAAAUUAAAAUUAUAGUUAGAUAUAUUAAAUUGAACCUAAAAGACCAAUUUGUUGAUUAUUAUUGUCAUGUUUUAGUUUUUGCAUGCAAUUUAAUGAAAUCGUAUUAGUUAAUUCAUUCUCAAUUACUUUAAGAUCAGAAACUAAAGAUAAUAUAAAUAGAAUUAUAGGAUGGAAGUGUUUGCUUGCUAAACUUUAGGAGCUUACUUGUAAUUUUCUCCGGAUUGAUUUUAAUACUCAAGGACGUGAGAAGGUGAGGGCCACUCGUUGCAAAAUAUCAGCCUCGAAAAAUAUACAACCACUCCUAUUUGUGUUUCUGUUUGGACCUUAUUGGUCCUGGUUUAGAUGGGUCUGCUUAACUCUGGGUUUUUCCUUUUUCUUUUUCCUGAUCCUGUGAGCAUUUAUUUAUAAAAAGAAAAGAGAAAUAUGCCCAUCAUUUAUCAAGUAGUAGUUAAAAAGAACAGAAUAAUGUAAUUAAAUGGAGAUUUUCUUAAUUUUGAAAUGAUCCCUUCAUUAAUUGUUUGUUUUACUUACAGAUUAUACAGAAUCAUAAAUGAAGUGAAAAGUAAGGGCUUCAUCAAAAUAAGAAAGUGUGUGUAGCCAAGCAAAUACUCAAGAAACAGUAACGGGAGAUGUGGGUCUAAUGACUUUAACUUGCCUGUCAAAUUUAGCUGGAGAAAGGUGGGAUUAUGUGCUUGGAGAUGCAACAGUCCUGGAAUAAAUUGGGGCAACUAGAAUGGCUUCAGAAUUUGGACUCUUUGAUCCUUGAAAUCGGAAGAAGGCUUGGAAUUUUAAGGAAGAAGUGAUCUAAAUGGAUGACCCAACAUCAGCCAUUCAGCAUCAUCUUUUUGUACAAAGUGACUUUCGGUUAUAACAAUCUUUUGGCUUCUCUUUCACAAGUUCUAUUGUUGCCGCCUCUCAAUGACAACUUAUUAAAAGCUUCGUAUGACUUUUAGCUGCAUGCACUUCUCCCUACACAUUUUCUUUAACAGGGGAAAUUUGCAUUUUAGAUUUUAAAUCCAUUCCAUGGGCAAGUUCAUAAUUUCAAG